Molecule: ribosomal RNA, 325 nt
Filed under: uncultured eukaryote
Lineage: Eukaryota
Description: partial 18S ribosomal RNA
Rfam family: Eukaryotic small subunit ribosomal RNA
Source: RNAcentral
CCCUUAGAUGUUCUGGGCCGCACACGCGCUACACUGAAGGAGGCAGCGUGUACUCCUGGAUCGAAAGAUUUGGGUAACCCGCGAAUCUCCUUCGUGCUAGGGAUUGAGGUUUGCAAUUAUCCUUCAUGAACGAGGAAUUCCCAGUAAGUGCAAGUCAUAAGCUUGCGCUGACUACGUCCCUGCCCUUUGUACACACCGCCCGUCGCUACUACCGAUUGAAUGGUCCGGUGAAGCGUUUGGACUAUGGUUUUCUGACGGUUCGCCAUUGGAUUACCGUGGGAAAUUCGUUAAACCUUAUCAUUUAGAGGAAGGAGAAGUCGUAACA